This 254-nucleotide ribosomal RNA is filed under the name uncultured bacterium. Its description in RNAcentral is "partial 16S ribosomal RNA". It matches the Rfam family "Bacterial small subunit ribosomal RNA", at positions 524 to 776 of the family's 1533-position model. The record is from RNAcentral.
CACGUAGGCACCAAGCGUUGUCCGGAUUUAUUGGGCGUAAAGAGCUCGUAGGCGGUUCAGUAAGUCGGGUGUGAAAACUCUGGGCUCAACCCAGAGACGCCACCCGAUACUGCUGUGACUUGAGUCCGGUAGGGGAGUGGGGAAUUCCUGGUGUAGCGGUGAAAUGCGCAGAUAUCAGGAGGAACACCGGUGGCGAAGGCGGCACUCUGGGCCGGUACUGACGCUGAGGAGCGAAAGCGUGGGUAGCAAACAGG